This 871-nucleotide long non-coding RNA is filed under the name Pan troglodytes (chimpanzee). RNAcentral's name for it is "lincRNA". Lineage: Eukaryota; Metazoa; Chordata; Mammalia; Primates; Hominidae. The record is from RNAcentral.
UAAUAACAUCUACCAAACAGUUUACAUUGUGCUAAACAACUUAUGCACAUUAUUUCUUUGAUUCUUUUUAACACACUGUUGUGGGCUGAAUGGUGUCUCCCAAGAAGUCAUAUGCCGGGAUCCUGUCCCAUAGUGCCUCACAACGUGACAUUGUUUGGAGUUAGGGUUGUUGAAGAUGUCAUUAGUCAAGAUGAGGUCAUACUUGAGUGAGGUGGGUUUCUAAUCCAAGGUGAGGUGGUGUCUGUGAAAAGGGGAAAUGUGGACACAGGUCCACAUAUAACGAGAACCCCAUGUGAAGAUGAAGGUAGAAAUUACAGUGAUGUGUCUACAAGCCAAGGAACACCAAAGAUUGACAGAAAAUCACCAGAAGCCUAGAGAGGCAUGAAACAUUCUCCCUCAGAGCCUUCAGAAGAAAGCAAUCCUGCUGGCACCUUCAUCUUGGACUUUGAGCCUCCAGAACUGUGAGGCAAUACAUUUCUGUUGUUUAAGCCACCCAGUUUGUGGCAUUUUGUUACAGCAGCACUGGAAUCCUAAUGGAUGCUGUAUUAGAUAAAUAUUUUAGGCUUAGGAAGAAGAGAACUCUAGACAUGCAGCAGCCAUCUUGUGGAUAUGAGGGAAGAGCCAAAUAGACUACAAAUCGGUUAACACAGAGAACUAAACCUGUGGAGCUACUGAAUGAACCAGCUAUGGAAUUGCCUGUGUGUGGGCAUUCAGAUGGACAUACCGGAUAAAAUUCUGGACUGGUAAGAGUGUGGGGAAAUUGCCAGUCUUAAGCAGUGCUGAUGGAGGUGUGAAUUGGUAAAACAAUUUGAAAAGUAAGUUGCUAGUUUUUAUAAAAUUUUUAAAAAUAAAUGUAUUCUCUGACCCAGUA